UGGUCAUUAAAGAUAUACUACUACUUCAUGAGUAUAUGUCACUAGGCAAGGAAUUGAAGAUUGGUAUGUCAAUUGAAUACCUUUUUGAAAACUGGGAAGCUAAGCUGCUUGUAGUCAAGUAUUGAAGAUGUAGAGAGUCUAUACAAGACAACUUGGUCGGGCUUGUAGUGAACUAACAGUUAGUUUAAAAUGAUAAUUGAAGGUUACAAAUGAAUUGGUUCCUCAUGACUUCAUCAACCGAUCUUUCAAUUCAAUUCAAAAUUGAUGGUCGAGUUUCCAUAGAUCAAAUUGGAGGGGCG
Long non-coding RNA from Ipomoea nil (Japanese morning glory), 299 nucleotides. RefSeq lists it as uncharacterized. The transcript is spliced from 5 exons. Lineage: Eukaryota; Viridiplantae; Streptophyta; Magnoliopsida; Solanales; Convolvulaceae. The record is from RefSeq and is a predicted model, not a curated record.